Molecule: ribosomal RNA, 203 nt
Filed under: uncultured bacterium
Lineage: Bacteria
Description: partial 16S ribosomal RNA
Rfam family: Bacterial small subunit ribosomal RNA
Source: RNAcentral
UACGUAGGGUGCAAGCGUUAAUCGGAAUUACUGGGCGUAAAGCGUGCGCAGGCGGUUUUGUAAGCCAGAUGUGAAAUCCCCGGGCUUAACCUGGGAAUGGCAUUUGGGACUGCAAGGCUUGAGUGCGGCAGAGGAGACGUGGAAUUCCUGGUGUAGCAGUGAAAUGCGUAGAUAUCAGGAAGAACACCCGUGGCGAAGGCGGC